CAAUGUAACGGGGCUAAAACACACCACCGAAGCCGCGGAUGCCGCAUUGCCUACGGGUAAUGGGGUGUGGUAGCAGAGCGUCGAUCUUGCUGUGAAGCAGCUGCGGAAGCAGUUGUGGAGCGUGGUCGAGUGCGAAUGUAGGCAUGAGUAGCGAGAGAGGGGUGAGAAACCCUUCCACCGAAAGCCCAAGGGUUCCUGGGGAAGGCUAUUCCUCCCAGGGUGAGUCGGGACCUAAGGCGAGGCCGAAAGGCGUAGUCGAUGGAUAACUGGUUGAUAUUCCAGUACCGCUGAGAGCGCGUCCAGGCUUAACCGAAGUUGCUAACUGGAUGUCCGGAUCCUUAGGGAGCCGGAAGGAAAGGACCCACUUUGGAGCGGCCAGCAAUGCAGGGACGAAGAAUGGUAGGUGAACCCAGGCGAUGGUUGUCCUGGGGUAAGUGCUUAGGCCGGGGCAUAGGUAAAUCCGUUCCCCGUUAAGGCUGAAACACGAUGCCGAGUCGAAUACGACGAAGUCAUUGAUCCACUACUUCCAAGAAAAUCUGCUAGCGAGCUCUCUUAGCGCCCGUACCCCAAACCAACACAGGUGGGCAGGUAGAGAAUACUAAGGUGUAUGAGAUAACCAUGGUUAAGGAACUCGGCAAAUUGCAUCCGUAACUUCGGGAUAAGGAUGACCUCAUGGGUUUAUAGCCUAAUGAGGUGGCACAAACUAGGGGGGAGCGACUGUUUACUAAAAACACAGCAGGGUGCUAAGUCGUAAGACGAUGUAUACCCUGUGACGCCUGCCCGGUGCUGGAAGGUUACGGGGACCGGUUAGCUGUAAAGCGAAGCUGUGAACCUAAGCCCCAGUAAACGGCGGCCGUAACUAUAACGGUCCUAAGGUAGCGAAAUUCCUUGUCGGGUAAGUUCCGACCUGCACGAAUGGCGUAACGACUCCCCUACUGUCUCAACCAUGGACUCAGCGAAAUUGAAGUACGAGUAAAGAUGCUCGUUAGCUACAGAAGGACGGAAAGACCCCGUGGACCUUUACUAUAGCUUGAUAUUGGUGUUUGAUUUGCGUUGUGUAGGAUAGGUGGGAGACUAGGAAGUCGGAGCGCUAGCUUCGGUGGAGUCAACCUUGAAAUACCACCCUGCGUACGUUGACCAUCUAACCUUGGACCGUGAUCCGGUUCGGGGACAGUGUCAGGUGGGUAGUUUGACUGGGGCGGUCGCCUCCUAAAGAGUAACGGAGGCGUUCAAAGGUUCCCUCAGACUGGUUGGCAAUCAGUCUUCGAGUGCAAUGGCAUAAGGGAGCUUGACUGCGAGACCUACAAGUCGAGCAGGUACGAAAGUAGGACAUAGUGAUCCGGCGGUUGCGUGUGGAAGCGCCGUCGCUCAACGGAUAAAAGGUACCCCGGGGAUAACAGGCUAAUCUUUCCCAAGAGUCCAUAUCGACGGAAAGGUUUGGCACCUCGAUGUCGGCUCAUCGCAUCCUGGGGCUGAAGCAGGUCCCAAGGGUUGGGCUGUUCGCCCAUUAAAGCGGUACGCGAGCUGGGUUCAGAACGUCGUGAGACAGUUCGGUCCCUAUCCUCCGCAGCCGAAGCUAUUUUGACAACUGCUAUCCUUAGUACGAGAGGACCGGGAUGGACGUAGCUCUAGUGUGUCUGUUGUUUCGCCAGAAGCAUCGCAGAUUUGCCACCUACGGAAGGGAUAACCGCUGAAAGCAUCUAAGUGGGAAACCCGGUUGAAGAUGAGAAUAGCCAUGCGGUUAACGCAGUAAGGCCCGUGACGAGACCAUCACGUUGAUAGGCCGGAAGUGUAAGCGUAGUAAUACGCUCAGCUGACCGGUACUAAUCGGCCGAGGGCUUGGUUAAACA
This 1850-nucleotide ribosomal RNA is filed under the name Flavobacteriales bacterium. RNAcentral describes it as "bacterial LSU rRNA". It matches the Rfam family "Bacterial large subunit ribosomal RNA", at positions 1168 to 2925 of the family's 2925-position model. The record is from RNAcentral. Lineage: Bacteria; Pseudomonadati; Bacteroidota; Flavobacteriia; Flavobacteriales.